GAUGAACGCUGGCGGCGUGCCUAAUACAUGCAAGUCGAGCGAACAGACGAGGAGCUUGCUCCUCUGACGUUAGCGGCGGACGGGUGAGUAACACGUGGAUAACCUACCUAUAAGACUGGGAUAACUUCGGGAAACCGGAGCUAAUACCGGAUAAUAUAUUGAACCGCAUGGUUCAAUAGUGAAAGACGGUUUUGCUGUCACUUAUAGAUGGAUCCGCGCCGCAUUAGCUAGUUGGUAAGGUAACGGCUUACCAAGGCAACGAUGCGUAGCCGACCUGAGAGGGUGGAUCGGCCACCUGGGAACUGGCAACCGGCCCGGACUCUAAGGGGAGGCAGCGUUGGGGAAGCUUCCGCAUGGGGGGAAAGCCUGCCGGAGCAAGGCGGCUGGGGUGAGGAAGGCUUCCGGUUCGAAAACCCCUUUUAUUGGGGAAGAACAAAUGUGAAAGUAACUAUGCACGCCUGGCGGUAACCAAACAAGAAGGCACGGGUAACCUAGGG
RNAcentral lists this ribosomal RNA (497 nucleotides) under uncultured bacterium. Its description in RNAcentral is "partial 16S ribosomal RNA". It matches the Rfam family "Bacterial small subunit ribosomal RNA", at positions 28 to 507 of the family's 1533-position model. The record is from RNAcentral.